UUAGCUAACGUCUGUUGUUCGAGAAGCUGGAAAUCGUCCGGAAACAUCACUAACUGAAGAAAAUCAGCCGCUUAAGUGAGGAGUUCAAGAUAUAAAAGACACAAAAAAGAAUACCUCUGAACAACUUGGCACAUUUCAAUGAUCUGACCAUGAGACGGAGCCCGACGAGACCCCUGAUUCUCAAAAGAAGAAAACUGCCUCUUCAUCAAAAUGCGACGGAUUCACAGCCUGGAGAAUCAGGCUCCAAAGAUCCGUCAAUACCAGCUGCCGCUCAGAGCUUUCCUGGUGGUAUCUGCAUCAUGGACCAUCCAUCCAAGUCUGAUACUCGGUUGGUAUACUUUCCCGAAACAGCAGAUCUUCAAAGUGUUAUUGGGGCCCUCACAGCUAAAGGCAAUGAAUGCGGUGCCCAGGGCCCAAACAAGUUCAUUCUUCUGAGUGGGAGUGGCAACAAGUGGGACUAUGGACCUGAUCCUCAGUCUGCUGCUGAAGCGGCUGCUACAAGGAGUACAGAAGGACAUAAAGUCAAAGCUGAAACUACACGCAGUUUCCCAGGUGACAAACUUCUAACUGAAAUUAAACCAUAGAAUAAGGAUGUCAAUUACAGUCCUUUAGAUGACAGCCUUGGUAGGAUGAGCACAUGCGCUUUGGAGCCAAAUUCUACAAAGCAGCUCAGCAGCAAGGAGAACCAAAAACCUUUACCACAGACUU
Molecule: non-coding RNA, 708 nt
Organism: Neolamprologus brichardi
Lineage: Eukaryota; Metazoa; Chordata; Actinopteri; Cichliformes; Cichlidae
Source: RefSeq, a predicted model, not a curated record